RNAcentral lists this ribosomal RNA (496 nucleotides) under uncultured bacterium. RNAcentral describes it as "partial 16S ribosomal RNA". It matches the Rfam family "Bacterial small subunit ribosomal RNA", at positions 28 to 506 of the family's 1533-position model. The record is from RNAcentral.
GACGAACGCUGGCGGCGUGCCUAAUACAUGCAAGUUGAGCGCUGAAGGUUGGUACUUGUACCAACUGGAUGAGCAGCGAACAGGUGAGUAACGCGUGGGGAAUCUGCCUUUGAGCGGGGGACAACAUUUGGAAACGAAUGCUAAUACCGCAUAAAAACUUUAAACACAAGUUUUAAGUUUGAAAGAUGCAAUUGCAUCACUCAAAGAUGAUCCCGCGUUGUAUUAGCUAGUUGGUGAGGUAAAGGCUCACCAAGGCGAUGAUACAUAGCCGACCUGAGAGGGUGAUCGGCCACAUUGGGACUGAGACACGGCCCAAACUCCUACGGGAGGCAGCAGUAGGGAAUCUUCGGCAAUGGACGAAAGUCUGACCGAGCAACGCCGCGUGAGUGAAGAAGGUUUUCGGAUCGUAAAACUCUGUUGGUAGAGAAGAACGUUGGUGAGAGUGGAAAGCUCAUCAAGUGACGGUAACUACCCAGAAAGGGACGGCUAACUACGU